Molecule: ribosomal RNA, 450 nt
Filed under: uncultured bacterium
Lineage: Bacteria
Description: bacterial SSU rRNA
Rfam family: Bacterial small subunit ribosomal RNA
Source: RNAcentral
UGGGGAAUUGUUCGCAAUGGGCGCAAGCCUGACGACGCAACGCCGCGUGGAGGAUGAAGAUCUUCGGGUCGUAAACUCCUUUCGAUCGAGACGAAUUCCCCUGGGGCUAAUACCCCUAGGGGUUGACGGUACCGAGAGAAGAAGCCCCGGCUAACUCCGUGCCAGCAGCCGCGGUAAUACGGGGGGGGCAAGCGUUGUUCGGAAUUACUGGGCGUAAAGGGCUCGUAGGCGGCCAACUAAGUCGGACGUGAAAUCCCUCGGCUUAACCGGGGAACUGCUUCCGAUACUGGAUGGCUUGAGUUUGGGAGAGGGAUGCGGAAUUCCAGGUGUAGCGGUGAAAUGCGUAGAUAUCUGGAGGAACACCGGUGGCGAAGGCGGCAUCCUGGACCAACACUGACGCUGAUGAGCGAAAGCCAGGGGAGCAAACGGGAUUAGAUACCCCCGUAGUCC